This 1491-nucleotide long non-coding RNA is filed under the name Struthio camelus australis. RNAcentral describes it as "lncRNA (ENSSCUG00000001661.1)". The record is from RNAcentral. Lineage: Eukaryota; Metazoa; Chordata; Aves; Struthioniformes; Struthionidae.
CUUAGGACAUUUUGACACAGGCUGGAUAAUGAAGUUGAACAGCAGAAGAGUGAUUGUAGGAGAUCAGUUUUACCUAGUCCAAGGACCUGCAGCUACUGAGAAGAAAAAAUCCUGUAGAGCAAAGAUCAGCUGCAUCCACAGUAACUAGUUAUUCAGUAAGACCAAAACGCCAAAGCAGAGUCAUAACCCCGAACUCCUUGGCCUUCUAACAGAUAGGAAUCAUUAUUGGUCAAGGUUUUGCUGCUGCUCAGCCUGGUUUCUUCUCAAAAAGCACAAACUUACGAGCUCCCACCUUGUGGAAAAGACAGUAUUUGCUUUUGAACCCAUUGGCCAAGUUCGGCCAAGCACAACCAAGAUAAUGAAGUUCCCAAAGGUUUCCUGAGACUUGGAGGCCACAGAAAGACGAUAGCAAGGAGGGCCCUGGUCAAGGGAGAUGCUGCAAUGUGAACUUGCCUUUGCUACAUACCACAGAAUCCACUGUGGAAAAAGUUUUUUUUUUUUUUUUUGGUUUUAUGAUACCAGAAAUGAGCAACCACCAAACAAAUCCAGAGGAACCAACUCCACGGGUACCUGUUUCCAUAGCACCCCAAGUGUUCUCCUAGUAGACACAUUAGCUGUCACACUUAGAGAGAGUUUAGCCUCUGCCCCCCAUCUCUCUGGGCACCACUUGGUAUACCUCAAGCUCACGUUUUCAGUUUAAGAGUUCUUCUUUCUUAUCGAGCGUUUCACCCCUCGAUUGUUUCCUUUCCUCUCCACUCUCUCAAACGACAUACUUCUAAUACAUGCAAUUAAACAAGAGGGAGGUAGCAUUCAAGAUAAUCAAAUCUAAAUUUAAUUCCAGGAUGUUCCUGUGUUUUAUUGAGAAAGAGGCUAUGCAAGAGGUUGAAACCCAACGUGCGUCAGAUGUACUCUGCUUCACAGAGGCAGCAUGUUGUUUUUGGCAGUCCCUUGGCAGAUGUCUUCUAGAUAACUCGAUAGGACUCGGUCUAAUGUUAGACUGGGAAUUCAGCAAGCAAACUUUCAAGAAUCUGGUGUCCAAUUUUAAGUCUUCUGCUAUGAAGAAAUCCAGGGAUUUCAUAACAGUGCAGUAGUUACUGGAAAGCUCAUACAAAAGUUUCCUGUUUCCAGGAUAAGCAAUUACGAGUUCGAUGAUCAUAGUUUGCCUUUGUGGAAAUGGCUCAGGCAACUUUAAGAAGAAAAUUACUGCGGACCACUAGCAGAGGACCUGCAACAUUGAACCUUUAAACAGGAAGGCACUUCCUAUAGAGAGGAACUCACUUGUACAGCCAGGGGAAGUGCAAGGGAAGAGCACUACUGCCUGGCUCCACCCUAUCUAAAUGCAUUUAUCUGAGAUGCCUAAACGGAGAGAGAGAAAAAUGAGCUGAAUCUGAGGUAACACCCAUCUCUUGGGAGAUGGCAGGGACUUGAGAAGUCAACUCUUAUCUCAGUAUCUGGAAUAAAGUGCAAAGACCACAUGCUUAGGUCUGUGGU